GGCUCAGAACGAACGCUGGCGGCGUGCCUAACACAUGCAAGUCGAACGAGAAAGCGGGGGCAACUCCGCGAGUAAAGUGGCGACCGGGUGAGUAACACGUGACCAAUCUGCCCUCGAGUGGGGGAUAACUCCGGGAAACCGGAGCUAAUACCGCAUAACAUCUUUGGGACGCAGGUCCUGAUGAUCAAAGGAGCAAUUCGCUUGAGGAGGGGGUCGCGGCUGAUUAGCUAGUUGGCGGGGUAAUGGCCCACCAAGGCAAAGAUCGGUAGCCGGCCUGAGAGGGCGCACGGCCACACUGGAACUGAAACACGGUCCAGACUCCUACGGGAGGCAGC
This 335-nucleotide ribosomal RNA is filed under the name uncultured Acidobacteriota bacterium. RNAcentral describes it as "bacterial SSU rRNA". It matches the Rfam family "Bacterial small subunit ribosomal RNA", at positions 21 to 352 of the family's 1533-position model. Lineage: Bacteria; Pseudomonadati; Acidobacteriota. The record is from RNAcentral.